UCAGGCCUAACACAUGCAAGUCGAACGGCAGCAUAGGAGCUUGCUCCUGAUGGCGAGUGGCGAACGGGUGAGUAAUAUAUCGGAACGUGCCCUAGAGUGGGGGAUAACUAGUCGAAAGACUAGCUAAUACCGCAUACGAUCUACGGAUGAAAGUGGGGGAUCGCAAGACCUCAUGCUCCUGGAGCGGCCGAUAUCUGAUUAGCUAGUUGGUGGGGUAAAAGCCUACCAAGGCGACGAUCAGUAGCUGGUCUGAGAGGACGACCAGCCACACUGGGACUGAGACACGGCCCAGACUCCUACGGGAGGCAGCAGUGGGGAAUUUUGGACAAUGGGGGCAACCCUGAUCCAGCAAUGCCGCGUGAGUGAAGAAGGCCUUCGGGUUGUAAAGCUCUUUUGUCAGGGAAGAAACAGUAGUAGCUAAUAUCUAUUACUAAUGACGGUACCUGAAGAAUAAGCACCGGCUAACUACGUGCCAGCAGCCGCGGUAAUACGUAGGGUGCAAGCGUUAAUCGGAAUUACUGGGCGUAAAGCGUGCGCAGGCGGUUGUGUAAGUCAGAUGUGAAAUCCCCGGGCUCAACCUGGGAAUUGCAUUUGAUACUGCACGGCUAGAGUGUGUCACAGGGGGGUAUAACUCCCCGCGUAGCAGCGAA
RNAcentral lists this ribosomal RNA (650 nucleotides) under uncultured bacterium. Its description in RNAcentral is "bacterial SSU rRNA". It matches the Rfam family "Bacterial small subunit ribosomal RNA", at positions 42 to 685 of the family's 1533-position model. The record is from RNAcentral.